AGAAUCAACGCUGGCGGCGUGCCUCAGACAUGCAAGUCGAACGCGAAAGUCUCCUUCGGGGGACAAGUAGAGUGGCGCACGGGUGAGUAACACGUAGGUAAUCUACCUUCGGGUGGGGAAUAACAACCGGAAACGGUUGCUAAUACCGCAUAAUGCAGCGGCACCUAAUGGUGACAGUUGUUAAAGCGGGGGAUCGCAAGAUCUCGCGCCUGAAGAGGAGCCUGCGGCGGAUUAGCUAGUUGGUAGGGUAAUGGCCUACCAAGGCGACGAU
Molecule: ribosomal RNA, 271 nt
Filed under: uncultured soil bacterium
Lineage: Bacteria
Description: partial 16S ribosomal RNA
Rfam family: Bacterial small subunit ribosomal RNA
Source: RNAcentral